GGAUGAACGCUGGCGGCGUGCCUACCCCAUGCAAGUCGAGCGAAGCACUUACUUUAGAUUUCUUCGGAAUGACGAAGUUUGUGACUGAGCGGCGGACGGGUGAGUAACGCGUGGGCAACCUGCCCUGUACAGGGGGAUAACAGUUAGAAAUGACUGCUAAUACCGCAUAAGCCCACAGCUUCGCAUGAAGCAGUGGGAAAAACUCCGGUGGUACAGGAUGGGCCCGCGUCUGAUUAGCUAGUUGGUAAGGUAACGGCUUACCAAGGCGACGAUCAGUAGCCGACCUGAGAGGGUGACCGGCCACAUUGGGACUGAGACACGGCCCAAACUCCUACGGGAGGCAGCAGUGGGGAAUAUUGCACAAUGGGGGAAACCCUGAUGCAGCGACGCCGCGUGAGCGAUGAAGUAUUUCGGUAUGUAAAGCUCUAUCAGCAGGGAAGAAAGUGACGGUACCUGACUAAGAAGCCCCGGCUAACUACGUG
RNAcentral lists this ribosomal RNA (482 nucleotides) under uncultured bacterium. RNAcentral's name for it is "partial 16S ribosomal RNA". It matches the Rfam family "Bacterial small subunit ribosomal RNA", at positions 27 to 507 of the family's 1533-position model. The record is from RNAcentral.